GAUUAUACAAUAUUAAAUUAUUGAAAAAAAAUAAUAAGAAAACGAAAAGGAUUAACUGUACUCAUAUCCGAGAAAAAAAUUCUUACCUUUGCUUCUUUUACACUGAUUAUACAAUAUUAAAUUAUUGAAAAAAAAUAAUAAGAAAACGAAAAGGAUUAACUGUACUCAUAUCCGAGAAAAAAACAUCUAGGUACAAAAUUCAUGAAAAUUGAAUAAAUAAAUAAUAAUAUUAAUAAUAAGAAAACGAAAAAUCUUACUUGUAAGACAGUGUUACAAAUAUCAUCGGAGAUGUAGAUUAGCCUUAUCGGAUCUGUACGUGUUCCAAAUAUCAUCGGAGAUGUAGAUUAGCCUCCUGUUAGAGACAACAGAUUCGAUCGUCGAUCGGAUCUGUACGCGUUCCAAAUAUCAUCGGAGAUGUAGAUUAGCCUCCUGUCAGAGACAACAGAUUCGAUCGUCCAUCGGAUCUGUACGUGCCACGUGUUCCAAAUAUCAUCGGAGAUGUAGAUUAGCCUCCUGUUAGAGACAACAGAUUCGACAACAGAUUCGAUCGUCCAUCGGAUCUGUACGUGCCUUCUCAUCUCGUUCAGAAUUCAGAAUGUUACGAAUAUGUGGUGGAAGCUGAGACUGAAUAAAAAAACAUUUAUUGAAAAAAAAAAUUAAAACAAAAAUAUGAAUAUUAAUAAUAAGAGUUUAAUGAAAUUAAUUAUAGUUAAGUGCUAUUAAUUACGGAAUCACCGGCGAUGCCGAAAAAUUACGGCCAUAACCUCCCAGAAAUCACUCGGAGGGUCCAAAACGAUGGUGCUACUUUGCCGGCGAAUAUUCAUCGACGUAAUCGCCUCUCUCAUCAUCCGAAAUAGGCGAUCAUUUUCAUCUCUCCUAUUCUCGUUCCGAGCAUCCUGUCUCACAGCCUUCACACUGUAGAAAAUCACAAUUCCUAUUCCGACGACCAAAAGGAUUGUCAAGAUAGUGCCUUCCGGCGAAAGUGGCGGAAAAAAGCGGCGGCAGAAGUGGCAGUGGAUGUAGAGGCAGGGGUAACAGUGGAAGUGCAGAGGCCAGAGAGAGUGAAGAAGUAUUGGAGAUUCCCGA
RNAcentral lists this long non-coding RNA (1086 nucleotides) under Erythranthe guttata (spotted monkey flower). RNAcentral describes it as "long non-coding RNA (EGUT_LNC000844)". The record is from RNAcentral. Lineage: Eukaryota; Viridiplantae; Streptophyta; Magnoliopsida; Lamiales; Phrymaceae.